GACGAACGCUGGCGGCGUGCUUAACACAUGCAAGUCGAACGAUGAAGAAGAGACACGCGCACUUCGGUUCAAAUUUCACUUCGGAUUAGUGGCAGACGGGUGAGUAACGCGUGAGCAACCUACCUCUUACAAAGGGAUAGCCUCGGGAAACCGUGAUUAAUACCAUAUGACACAUUCAUAAGGCAUCUUAAGAAUGUUAAAGCUACGGCGGUAAGAGAUGGGCUCGCGUCCCAUUAGCUAGUUGGUGAGGUAACGGCCCACCAAGGCGACGAUGGGUAACCGGCCUGAGAGGGUGAACGGUCACAUUGGAACUGAGACACGGUCCAAACUCCUACGGGAGGCAGCAGUGGGGAAUAUUGCACAAUGGAGGGAACUCUGAUGCAGCGACGCCGCGUGAGCGAUGAAGGAAUUCGUGUCGUAAAGCUCUGUUCUAUGGGAAGAAAAGGACUGUACCAUAGGAGAAAGCCCCGGCUAAAUACGUG
This 482-nucleotide ribosomal RNA is filed under the name uncultured bacterium. RNAcentral describes it as "partial 16S ribosomal RNA". It matches the Rfam family "Bacterial small subunit ribosomal RNA", at positions 28 to 507 of the family's 1533-position model. The record is from RNAcentral.